This 281-nucleotide ribosomal RNA is filed under the name uncultured bacterium. RNAcentral describes it as "partial 16S ribosomal RNA". It matches the Rfam family "Bacterial small subunit ribosomal RNA", at positions 123 to 406 of the family's 1533-position model. The record is from RNAcentral.
AACGUAUCCUUGAGUGGGGGACAACCCGUCGAAAGACAGGCUAAUACCGCAUACGCUCGAGAGAGGAAAGUGGGGGACCGCAAGGCCUCACGCUGAAGGAGCGGCCGAUAUUCGAUUAGCUAGUUGGUGGGGUAAAGGCUCACCAAGGCUACGAUCGAUAGCUGGUCUGAGAGGAUGAUCAGCCACACUGGAACUGAGACACGGUCCAGACUCCUACGGGAGGCAGCAGUGGGGAAUUUUGGACAAUGGGGGCAACCCUGAUCCAGCCAUUCCGCGUGAGU